Molecule: ribosomal RNA, 404 nt
Filed under: uncultured bacterium
Lineage: Bacteria
Description: bacterial SSU rRNA
Rfam family: Bacterial small subunit ribosomal RNA
Source: RNAcentral
UGGGGAAUUUUGCGCAAUGGGGGAAACCCUGACGCAGCAACGCCGCGUGCGGGACGAAGGCCCUCGGGUUGUAAACCGCUUUCAGCAGGGAAGAUCCAAGACGGUACCUGCAGAAGAAGCUCCGGCUAACUACGUGCCAGCAGCCGCGGUAAUACGUAGGGGGCGAGCGUUAUCCGGAUUCAUUGGGCGUAAAGCGCGCGUAGGCGGCCGCCUAAGCGGGACCUCUAACCCCGGGGCUCACCCCCGGGCCGGGUCCCGGACUGGGCGGCUCGAGUGCGGUAGAGGAGAGCGGAAUUCCCGGUGUAGCGGUGGAAUGCGCAGAUAUCGGGAAGAACACCGAUGGCGAAGGCAGCUCUCUGGGCCGUCACUGACGCUGAGGCGCGAAAGCUGGGGGAGCGAACAGG